UACGGAGGGUGCGAGCGUUGUCCGGAAUCAUUGGGCGUAAAGGGCGCGUAGGUGGCGGCUUAAGCGUGCGGUGAAAGCUCGGGGCUCAACCCCGAGUCGGCCGUGCGAACUGAGUCGCUUGAGCACUGUAGAGGCAGGCGGAAUUCCGGGUGUAGGCGGUGGAAUGCGUAGAGAUCCGGAAGAACACCGGUGGCGAAGGCGGCCUGCUGGGCAGUAGCUGACACUGAGGCGCGACAGCGUGGGGAGCAAACAGG
Molecule: ribosomal RNA, 254 nt
Filed under: uncultured bacterium
Lineage: Bacteria
Description: partial 16S ribosomal RNA
Rfam family: Bacterial small subunit ribosomal RNA
Source: RNAcentral